AAUAAAAUGGCUGAAAAUAAAGGCGAUAAAUUGUAAAUUUAUUUAUAAGAAAAAUCUUUUUUAUUA
RNAcentral lists this transfer RNA (66 nucleotides) under Lepidostoma fui. RNAcentral's name for it is "tRNA-Tyr". It matches the Rfam family "tRNA". From Rfam's summary of the family: Transfer RNA (tRNA) molecules are approximately 80 nucleotides in length. Their secondary structure includes four short double-helical elements and three loops (D, anti-codon, and T loops). The record is from RNAcentral. Lineage: Eukaryota; Metazoa; Arthropoda; Insecta; Trichoptera; Lepidostomatidae. RNAcentral also lists the same sequence under 1 other name.